RNAcentral lists this ribosomal RNA (254 nucleotides) under uncultured bacterium. RNAcentral's name for it is "partial 16S ribosomal RNA". It matches the Rfam family "Bacterial small subunit ribosomal RNA", at positions 524 to 776 of the family's 1533-position model. The record is from RNAcentral.
UACGUAGGAGGCGAGCGUUGUCCGGAAUUAUUGGGCGUAAAGAGCUCGUAGGCGGUGUGUCGCGUCGGCCGUGAAAACCUGCAGCUUAACUGUGGGCGUGCGGUCGAUACGGGCAUCACUGGAGUUCGGCAGGGGAGACUGGAAUUCCUGGUGUAGCGGUGAAAUGCGCAGAUAUCAGGAGGAACACCGGUGGCGAAGGCGGGUCUCUGGGCCGAUACUGACGCUGAGGAGCGAAAGCGUGGGGAGCAAACAGG